AUUGAACGCUGGCGGCAGGCCUAACACAUGCAAGUCGAGCGGAUGAAGGGAGCUUGCUCCUGGAUUCAGCGGCGGACGGGUGAGUAAUGCCUAGGAAUCUGCCUGGUAGUGGGGGAUAACGUCCGGAAACGGGCGCUAAUACCGCAUACGUCCUGAGGGAGAAAGUGGGGGAUCUUCGGACCUCACGCUAUCAGAUGAGCCUAGGUCGGAUUAGCUAGUUGGUGGGGUAAAGGCCUACCAAGGCGACGAUCCGUAACUGGUCUGAGAGGAUGAUCAGUCAACCUGGAAUUGGACACCGGCCCAAACCCCUAGGGGGGGCAGCAGUGGGGAAUAUUGGACAAGGGGCGAAAGCCUGAUCCAGCCAUGCCGGGUGGGUGAAGAAGGUCUUGGGUUUGUAAAGCAUUUUAAGUGGGGGGGAAGGGAAGUAAGUUAAUACCUUGCUGUUUUGACGUUCCCAAAAAAAAAAGCACCGGCUAACUUCGU
RNAcentral lists this ribosomal RNA (483 nucleotides) under uncultured bacterium. RNAcentral's name for it is "partial 16S ribosomal RNA". It matches the Rfam family "Bacterial small subunit ribosomal RNA", at positions 30 to 506 of the family's 1533-position model. The record is from RNAcentral.